AUCUUAUCGAGAGUGGCUGAGGGACAGGCCCUUUGAAGCCACGACAACCGGUUCCAGUUUAGGAUAGGAAUCGGUGCCAAAUCCUGCCCCGUAAGGGGGGAGAUGAGAU
Molecule: non-coding RNA, 109 nt
Filed under: Acidobacteriota bacterium
Lineage: Bacteria; Pseudomonadati; Acidobacteriota
Description: Acidobacteria bacterium SAM-I sequence
Rfam family: SAM riboswitch aptamer (S box leader)
About the family: The SAM riboswitch is found upstream of a number of genes which code for proteins involved in methionine or cysteine biosynthesis in Gram-positive bacteria. The SAM riboswitch acts at the level of transcription termination control.
Source: RNAcentral